RNAcentral lists this transfer RNA (92 nucleotides) under Armillaria solidipes. It matches the Rfam family "tRNA". Rfam says of the family: Transfer RNA (tRNA) molecules are approximately 80 nucleotides in length. Their secondary structure includes four short double-helical elements and three loops (D, anti-codon, and T loops). Lineage: Eukaryota; Fungi; Basidiomycota; Agaricomycetes; Agaricales; Physalacriaceae. The record is from Rfam by way of RNAcentral.
UCGGAUAUGGUGUAACGGCUAACAUUGCCGCCUUUCAUCUAUUUAUCCCUCGUCUUUCGCGGCAGCUCGGGGUUCGAUUCCCCGUAUCCGAA